GGAGACUGAUUUGACAGAAGAAAGAGAGCACAUUUGGCUGCACGCUCUUGGUUCUAGUGUGUCACUCAUGCGUGCUCUUCUUCUUCUGUCAUAUCGCAAC
RNAcentral lists this microRNA precursor (100 nucleotides) under Selaginella moellendorffii. RNAcentral describes it as "miR156c stem-loop (smo-MIR156c)". Its record names the gene smo-MIR156c. The record is from miRBase by way of RNAcentral. Lineage: Eukaryota; Viridiplantae; Streptophyta; Lycopodiopsida; Selaginellales; Selaginellaceae.